RNAcentral lists this ribosomal RNA (480 nucleotides) under uncultured Curvibacter sp. RNAcentral describes it as "bacterial SSU rRNA". It matches the Rfam family "Bacterial small subunit ribosomal RNA", at positions 8 to 483 of the family's 1533-position model. Lineage: Bacteria; Pseudomonadati; Pseudomonadota; Betaproteobacteria; Burkholderiales; Comamonadaceae. The record is from RNAcentral.
AGAGUUUGAUCCUGGCUCAGAUUGAACGCUGGCGGCAUGCCUUACACAUGCAAGUCGAACGGCAGCACGGGAGCAAUCCUGGUGGCGAGUGGCGAACGGGUGAGUAAUAUAUCGGAACGUGCCCAGUCGUGGGGGAUAACGUAGCGAAAGCUACGCUAAUACCGCAUACGAUCUAUGGAUGAAAGCGGGGGAUCGAAAGACCUCGCGCGAUUGGAGCGGCCGAUAUCAGAUUAGGUAGUUGGUGAGGUAAAGGCUCACCAAGCCGACGAUCUGUAGCUGGUCUGAGAGGACGACCAGCCACACUGGGACUGAGACACGGCCCAGACUCCUACGGGAGGCAGCAGUGGGGAAUUUUGGACAAUGGGCGCAAGCCUGAUCCAGCAAUGCCGCGUGCAGGAUGAAGGCCUUCGGGUUGUAAACUGCUUUUGUACGGAACGAAACGGUGAGCUCUAAUACAGUUUGCUAAUGACGGUACCGUAA